GGACGGUCAGGUGGAUAGAGCGGUGGACUUUUGUUCCAUGGCUCCAGGGGUCAGUGGUUCGAGCCCCGUUGAGGGUUCC
RNAcentral lists this transfer RNA (79 nucleotides) under Dreissena polymorpha. RNAcentral describes it as "tRNA-Lys". Lineage: Eukaryota; Metazoa; Mollusca; Bivalvia; Myida; Dreissenidae. The record is from RNAcentral.